Molecule: ribosomal RNA, 573 nt
Filed under: Salmonella enterica subsp. enterica serovar Utah
Lineage: Bacteria; Pseudomonadati; Pseudomonadota; Gammaproteobacteria; Enterobacterales; Enterobacteriaceae
Description: partial 23S ribosomal RNA
Rfam family: Bacterial large subunit ribosomal RNA
Source: RNAcentral
UCAGCGACUUAUAUUCUGUAGCAAGGUUAACCGUAUAGGGGAGCCGGAGGGAAACCGAGUCUUAACCGGGCGUUAAGUUGCAGGGUAUAGACCCGAAACCCGGUGAUCUAGCCAUGGGCAGGUUGAAGGUUGGGUAACACUAACUGGAGGACCGAACCGACUAAUGUUGAAAAAUUAGCGGAUGACCUGUGGCUGGGGGUGAAAGGCCAAUCAAACCGGGAGAUAGCUGGUUCUCCCCGAAAGCUAUUUAGGUAGCGCCUCGUGAAUUCAUCUCCGGGGGUAGAGCACUGUUUCGGCUAGGGGGCCAUCCCGGCUUACCAACCCGAUGCAAACUGCGAAUACCGGAGAAUGUUAUCACGGGAGACACACGGCGGGUGCUAACGUCCGUCGUGAAGAGGGAAACAACCCAGACCGCCAGCUAAGGUCCCAAAGUCAUGGUUAAGUGGGAAACGAUGUGGGAAGGCCCAGACAGCCAGGAUGUUGGCUUAGAAGCAGCCAUCAUUUAAAGAAAGCGUAAUAGCUCACUGGUCGAGUCGGCCUGCGCGGAAGAUGUAACGGGGCUAAACCAUGCAC